CUAAUCCUGGUCGGACAUCAGGAGGUUAGUGCAAUGGCAUAAGCUAGCUUGACUGCGAGCGUGACGGCGCGAGCAGGUGCGAAAGCAGGUCAUAGUGAUCCGGUGGUUCUGAAUGGAAGGGCCAUCGCUCAACGGAUAAAAGGUACUCCGGGGAUAACAGGCUGAUACCGCCCAAGAGUUCAUAUCGACGGCGGUGUUUGGCACCUCGAUGUCGGCUCAUCACAUCCUGGGGCUGAAGUAGGUCCCAAGGGUAUGGCUGUUCGCCAUUUAAAGUGGUACGCGAGCUGGGUUUAGAACGUCGUGAGACAGUUCGGUCCCUAUCUGCCGUGGGCGCUGGAGAAUUGAGGGGGGCUGCUCCUAGUACGAGAGGACCGGAGUGGACGCAUCACUGGUGUUCGGGUUGUCAUGCCAAUGGCACUGCCCGGUAGCUAAAUGCGGAAGAGAUAAGUGCUGAAAGCAUCUAAGCACGAAACUUGCCCCGAGAUGAGUUCUCCCUGAGACU
RNAcentral lists this ribosomal RNA (502 nucleotides) under Klebsiella pneumoniae. RNAcentral's name for it is "partial 23S ribosomal RNA". It matches the Rfam family "Bacterial large subunit ribosomal RNA", at positions 2321 to 2822 of the family's 2925-position model. The record is from RNAcentral. RNAcentral also lists the same sequence under 1 other name. Lineage: Bacteria; Pseudomonadati; Pseudomonadota; Gammaproteobacteria; Enterobacterales; Enterobacteriaceae.